This 422-nucleotide ribosomal RNA is filed under the name uncultured cyanobacterium. Its description in RNAcentral is "bacterial SSU rRNA". It matches the Rfam family "Bacterial small subunit ribosomal RNA", at positions 358 to 795 of the family's 1533-position model. Lineage: Bacteria; Bacillati; Cyanobacteriota. The record is from RNAcentral.
GGAAUUUUCCGCAAUGGGCGAAAGCCUGACGGAGCAACGCCGCGUGAGGGAUGAAGGCCUCUGGGCUGUAAACCUCUUUUAUCGAGGAAGAAGAUCUGACGGUACUUGAUGAAUAAGCCACGGCUAAUUCCGUGCCAGCAGCCGCGGUAAUACGGGAGUGGCAAGCGUUAUCCGGAAUUAUUGGGCGUAAAGCGUCCGCAGGCGGCCCUUCAAGUCUGCUGUUAAAAAGUGGAGCUUAACUCCAUCAUGGCAGUGGAAACUGUUGGGCUUGAGUGUGGUAGGGGCAGAGGGAAUUCCCGGUGUAGCGGUGAAAUGCGUAGAUAUCGGGAAGAACACCAGUGGCGAAGGCGCUCUGCUGGGCCAUCACUGACGCUCAUGGACGAAAGCCAGGGGAGCGAAAGGGAUUAGAUACCCCUGUAGUC